Molecule: ribosomal RNA, 208 nt
Filed under: uncultured bacterium
Lineage: Bacteria
Description: partial 16S ribosomal RNA
Rfam family: Bacterial small subunit ribosomal RNA
Source: RNAcentral
GGGAGCGUAGACGGCAGUGCAAGCCAGAAGUGAAAGCCCGGGGCUCAACCGCGGGACUGCUUUUGGAACUGCACGGCUGGAGUACAGGAGAGGUAAGCGGAAUUCCUAGUGUAGCGGUGAAAUGCGUAGAUAUUAGGAGGAACACCAGUGGCGAAGGCGGCUUACUGGACUGAGACUGACGUUGAGGCUCGAAAGCGUGGGGAGCAAA